Cucurbita pepo subsp. pepo (vegetable marrow) is the source of this 1564-nucleotide RNA transcript. It is a transcript of the gene named Putative methyltransferase family protein, with no coding region annotated. The record is from RefSeq and is a predicted model, not a curated record. NCBI's taxonomy places the organism in Eukaryota, Viridiplantae, Streptophyta, Magnoliopsida, Cucurbitales, Cucurbitaceae.
UCAAAAAAUUUUACGAAGAAAAACCUUAGGGGCUUGAAACUCUCUUGAAAGCUCUGUUCCGCCGCGAAGCUCUCCAGGGAGCAACCAGUAAUGGCGGCGAACUCUUCGAGUCCGGCUUUCGAAAACUUUCGGUUGUUUGGAUCAGCGGAAGACGAUAAGCCCAAUCCGGGUUUAUCCCUGGGUUUCCUCGACUCUCAACAACCUCCACUUCCACCUCCACCUCCUUGCCUCGAAGUUCUUUCUUCUGAGGUUUGUUCUUCUGUCAAGUUCAAUGUGGAGCCAGUAACAGUGGGUGAAAUUACCAUGUUUAAGGGACGGGUCAGCACGCAGGAGGUUUUCUCCCUGUCCAACUCUGAUUUAGUUCCUGGUAAAUAUGAAGGGGGGCUUAAAUUAUGGGAAGGCGCAUUGGAUCUUGUCAAAGCUCUCUGUGGAGAGGUUGAAAAUGGGCAUUUGUCAUUUGCUGGGAAGCGAGUUUUAGAGCUUGGAUGUGGCCAUGGUCUUCCUGGUAUUUAUGCAUGUCUGGAGGAUGCAGCUGCAGUACAUUUCCAGGAUUUCAAUGCCGAAGUCCUGAGAUGCCUUACCAUUCCAAAUGUCACUGCAAACCUUACAAAAAAGGCUGAAGCUUUGCCAACAAAUCCAACAGAAUCCGAUGCUGGAUCAGCAGCUCGUUACUUCGCUGGUGAUUGGAGUGAAAUGCAUAAAAUUCUGCCGUUUGCGUCCGACGACAAGGAGAAGCUAAGUGAAAAUUUCAAUGGCUAUGACAUUGUUUUAAUGGCGGAGACCGUUUAUUCUCUUUCUACACUUAAAACUCUCUAUAAACUUAUCACACAGUGUUUGAGCCGUCCUCAUGGAGUUGUAUACAUGGCUGGAAAGAAGCAUUACUUUGGAGUAGGAGGAGGAACCCGACGCUUUCUCUCUGUGUUAGAAAAAGAAGGUGAAAUGGUUUCCAAACUGAUUGCAGAAGUUGCUGAUGGUUCGUCUAACGUUAGAGAAGUGUGGAAGAUCUCAUUGAAAUAGAAGGAAGCAUUAGGGAUGGUUUAUGCAAUGAUCACUGGAACGAAAGCGUUCUAUAUUUCUCUCCUUUGUCGAGUUCGUAUCUGAAAAUUAUGGAUCAAAUCUUUUUUGGGAAGUUGAACACUGUCUUGUGUGCUCCCUUUGUUGGAAAUUGACAUGGUCAAAGAAGAUCAUCAAUAGGUAUGCGUUUAAGCUAUGAAAUAUUAUUGGCCUCAAAGUCAGCUUAUUAUAGCCCAUCAACACGCAAAGCAGCUGAGCACAUAGAAUUGGAACCGAGGGAGUGCCUACUUAAGCUAUGCUCAAUUGGAAUUUAAGGGAUCAUCCAUGAUUCGACGUUUGAUUCGACGUUUUGUUAGAACAUGAUUAGAGGUUUGAAUUCCUAUCACAUGUUUGAACUUGAAAAGAAAAAAAAAAAAAAAAGUUGAAGAGAGUAAAAUGACACAAACUUGUGAGAUCGGACAUUGAACGGACUUUGAACUUCUAGCUUUUGUAUCAUCGUUGGUGAUAACUAUAUUAAUUAUGAUAUGAAAAGUUCAAUAGGAUCAAUAGA